UACAGAGGGUGCAAGCGUUAAUCGGAAUUACUGGGCGUAAAGCGUGCGUAGUCGGUUAUUUAAGUCGGGCGUGAAAGCCCCGGGCUCAACCUGGGAAUUGCGUUCGAUACUGGAUAGCUAGAGUUCGGCAGAGGGAAGCGGAAUUUCUGGUGUAGCGGUGAAAUGCGUAGAUAUCAGAAGGAACAUCAGUGGCGAAGGCGAAUCUCUGGACAAUACCUGACACUGAUGCUCGAAAGCUAGGGGAGCAAACGGG
Molecule: ribosomal RNA, 253 nt
Filed under: uncultured bacterium
Lineage: Bacteria
Description: partial 16S ribosomal RNA
Rfam family: Bacterial small subunit ribosomal RNA
Source: RNAcentral